UCAGGCCUAACACAUGCAAGUCGAGCGCGCCUUCGGGUGAGCGGCGGACGGGUUAGUAACGCGUGGGAAUAUGCCCAAAGGUAGGGAAUAGCCUCUGGAAACGGAGAGUAAUACCCUAUGUGCCCUUCGGGGGAAAGAUUUAUCGCCUUUGGAUUAGCCCGCGUUAGAUUAGGUAGUUGGUGGGGUAAUGGCCUACCAAGCCUACGAUCUAUAGCUGGUUUUAGAGGAUGAUCAGCAACACUGGGACUGAGACACGGCCCAGACUCCUACGAGAGGCAGCAGUGGGGAAUCUUGGACAAUGGGGGCAACCCUGAUCCAGCCAUGCCGCGUGAGUGAUGAAGGCCCUAGGGUCGUAAAGCUCUUUCGCCAGGGAUGAUAAUGACAGUACCUGGCAAAGAAACCCCGGCUAACUCCGUGCCAGCAGCCGCGGUAAUACGGAGGGGGUUAGCGUUGUUCGGAAUUACUGGGCGUAAAGCGUACGUAGGCGGAUCGGAAAGUUGGGGGUGAAAUCCCGGGGCUCAACCCCGGAACUGCCUCCAAAACUAUCGGUCUAGAGUUCGAGAGAGGUGAGUGGAAUUCCGAGUGUAGAGGUGAAAUUCGUAGAUAUUCGGAGGAACACCAGUGGCGAAGGCGGCUCACUGGCUCGAUACAGACGCUGAGGUACGAAAGUGUGGGGAGCAAACAGGAUUAGAUACCGUGG
Molecule: ribosomal RNA, 700 nt
Filed under: uncultured bacterium
Lineage: Bacteria
Description: bacterial SSU rRNA
Rfam family: Bacterial small subunit ribosomal RNA
Source: RNAcentral